This 497-nucleotide ribosomal RNA is filed under the name uncultured bacterium. RNAcentral's name for it is "partial 16S ribosomal RNA". It matches the Rfam family "Bacterial small subunit ribosomal RNA", at positions 28 to 507 of the family's 1533-position model. The record is from RNAcentral.
GAUGAACGCUGGCGGCGUGCCUAAUACAUGCAAGUCGAGCGAACAGAUGAGGAGCUUGCUCCUCUGACGUUAGCGGCGGACGGGUGAGUAACACGUGGAUAACCUACCUAUCAGACUGGGAUAACUUCGGGAAACCGGCUCUAAUACCGGAUAAUCUCUUGAACCGCAUGGUUCAAUAGUAAAAUACGGUUUUGGUGUCACUUCUAGAUGGAUCCGCGCCGCAUUAGCUAGUUGUUAAGGUAACGGCUUAUCAAGGCAAGGCUGCGUAGCAGACCUGAGAGGAUGAUCGGCCACACUGGAAGUGUGACACGGUCCAGACGCAUACGGGAGGCAGCAGUAGGGAAUCGUGCGCAAGGGGCGAAAGCCUGACGGAGCAACGCGGCGUGAGGGAUGAAGGUCUUCGGAUCGGAAAACUCUGUUAUUGGGGAAGAACAAAUGUGUGAGUAACUAUGCACGUCUUGAAGGUACCUAAUCAGAGAGCCACGGCUAACUACGUG